GAUGAACGCUAGCUACAGGCUUAACACAUGCAAGUCGAGGGGAAACGAUAGAGAAAGCUUGCUUUUUCUAGGCGUCGACCGGCGCACGGGUGAGUAACGCGUAUCCAACCUGCCCAUCACUUGGGGAUAACCUUGCGAAAGUAAGACUAAUACCCAAUGAUAUCUCUAGAAGACAUCUGAAGGAGAUUAAAGAAUUAUCGGUGAUGGAUGGGGAUGCGUCUGAUUAGCUUGUUGGCGGGGUAACGGCCCACCAAGGCGACGAUCAGUAGGGGUUCUGAGAGGAAGGUCCCCCACAGUGGAACUGAGACACGGUCCAAACUCCUACGGGGGGCAGCAGUGAGGAAUAUUGGUCAAUGGACGAGAGUCUGAACCAGCCAAGUAGCGUGCAGGAUGACGGCCCUAUGGGUUGUAAACUGCUUUUAUAAGGGAAUAAAGUGAGUCUCGUGAGACUUUUUGCAUGUACCUUAUGAAUAAGGACCGGCUAAUUCCGUGCCAGCCGCCGCAGUAA
This 508-nucleotide ribosomal RNA is filed under the name uncultured bacterium. RNAcentral describes it as "partial 16S ribosomal RNA". It matches the Rfam family "Bacterial small subunit ribosomal RNA", at positions 28 to 523 of the family's 1533-position model. The record is from RNAcentral.